RNAcentral lists this signal recognition particle RNA (247 nucleotides) under Piliocolobus tephrosceles (Ugandan red Colobus). Its description in RNAcentral is "Metazoan signal recognition particle RNA (ENSPTEG00000002136.1)". It matches the Rfam family "Metazoan signal recognition particle RNA". Rfam says of the family: The signal recognition particle (SRP) is a universally conserved ribonucleoprotein. It is involved in the co-translational targeting of proteins to membranes. The eukaryotic SRP consists of a 300-nucleotide 7S RNA and six proteins: SRPs 72, 68, 54, 19, 14, and 9. Lineage: Eukaryota; Metazoa; Chordata; Mammalia; Primates; Cercopithecidae. The record is from RNAcentral.
ACUGGGUACUGUGGUGCACACCUGCAGUCCCAGCUAUUUGGAGGCUGAGACAGAAGGAUUACUGAAGUCCAGGAGUUCUGCACUGUCGCGUGCUGUUUGGCAUCAAUACGGUGACCUCCCAGGAGCAGGGGGCCGCCAGGUUGCCUAAGAAGGGGUGAACCAGCCCAGGUCGGAAAUGGAGCAGGUCAAAACUCCUGUGGUGAUCAGAUGUGUGAUUGCUCAGCCAGGUGUGGUGGCUCAUUCCUGU